This is a small nuclear RNA of Octopus sinensis (East Asian common octopus), 102 nucleotides long. The record is from RefSeq and is a predicted model, not a curated record. NCBI's taxonomy places the organism in Eukaryota, Metazoa, Mollusca, Cephalopoda, Octopoda, Octopodidae.
AAUUAGAUCGUAAAUAUAGUAAAAACUGGGACGAUACAGAGAAGAUUAGUAUGGCUCCUGCACAAGGAUGACACGCACAUUCGUGAAACGUUCCCUAUUUUA